This 151-nucleotide ribosomal RNA is filed under the name Orbilia pseudobrevistipitata. RNAcentral describes it as "Brachyphoris brevistipitata 5.8S ribosomal RNA". It matches the Rfam family "5.8S ribosomal RNA". Rfam says of the family: 5.8S ribosomal RNA (5.8S rRNA) is a component of the large subunit of the eukaryotic ribosome. The record is from RNAcentral. Lineage: Eukaryota; Fungi; Ascomycota; Orbiliomycetes; Orbiliales; Orbiliaceae.
AAACUUUCAACAACGGAUCUCUUGGUUCUCGCAUCGAUGAAGAACGCAGCGAAACGCGAUAGUUAAUGUGAAUUGCAGAAUUCAGUGAAUCAUCGAGUCUUUGAACGCACAUUGCGCCCAUCGGUAUUCCGAUGGGCAUGUCUGUUUGAGC